GAUGAACGCUGGCGGCGUGCCUAAUACAUGCAAGUCGAGCGAACAGACGAGGAGCUUGCUCCUCUGACGUUAGCGGCGGACGGGUGAGUAACACGUGGAUCACCUACCUAUAAGACUGGGAUAACUUCGGGAAACCGGAGCUAAUACCGGAUAAUAUAUUGAACCGCAUGGUUCAAUAGUGAAAGACGGUUUUGCUGUCACUUAUAGAUGGAUCCGCGCCGCAUUAGCUAGUUGGUAAGGUAACGGCUUACCAAGGCAACGAUGCGUAGCCGACCUGAGAGGGUGAUCGGCCACACUGGAACUGAGACACGGUCCAUACGCCUACGGGAGGCAGCAGUAGGGAAUCGGCCGCAAUGGGCGAAAGCUUGACGGAGCAACGCCGCGUGAGUGAUGAAGGUCUUCGGAUCGUAAAACUCGGUUAUUAGGGAAGAACAAAUGUGUAAGUAACUAUGCACGUCUUGACGGUACCUGAUGAGAAAGCCACGGCUAACUACGUG
This 497-nucleotide ribosomal RNA is filed under the name uncultured bacterium. Its description in RNAcentral is "partial 16S ribosomal RNA". It matches the Rfam family "Bacterial small subunit ribosomal RNA", at positions 28 to 507 of the family's 1533-position model. The record is from RNAcentral.